Molecule: long non-coding RNA, 1261 nt
Organism: Oncorhynchus masou masou (cherry salmon)
Lineage: Eukaryota; Metazoa; Chordata; Actinopteri; Salmoniformes; Salmonidae
Exons: 3
Source: RefSeq, a predicted model, not a curated record
AUGUCCCAGAAAAGAACCAUGAAAUGUGGUUGUUUUACUAACAAACAGAGGAUUGCAAUGAAACCAAACAUGACUCGAUAAAUGUCCGUUUAGAUUAAGUAAUUACAUCGAACGUUAGGUCCAAAGUUGAAGGACACUGUAUUUACAACACAAGCCGUUUACAAAAUGUUUCCUGUUAGGCUAUACAAAUGGAUUAUAACGAACAAAACAACACUUUGUUUCGUCAUGACCUUUAGUGUUGCCAAAAAAAGAAGCUCUUCAAAGAGAGGAGUGACCAAAACAAACCUCGGGUUUUCCGGGCCACAGGAGUGUGCAAGAAUGUGGUCAGCACAUUUUCCUAUAGUUGGAAGAAGCAGAAGACCCUGACAAAGUGCACAGGAUAAACUGAGCCUGCCCUCGACAAGCUCUUCACGGAAUCCCGACAAGGUGGUGAUCUCGACUGCAGAUGAUGGAAAGAGUCCUGGAGCAAAAGGGCAGCAGGCAAAAAAACAUGGAACCCUGCAACCUCCUGGCAAGACAUUGAGGUCUUUGAAUCUAUCACAGCAAAGCCCCUCCAGGAGAGACAUACAUGAGUGUGUCCUAUCUGAAGCCCGUCCUCCAUGUUGUCAAGAGGGAGGUUCUGAAAUCAAACGAGGGCAAAGCCAAACUGAAACAAGACAUUAAGAUGAGGGUCCUCAAUUACCUGAAUGACAAGUACACCAACCCUGAAACAGAUGAGCUGCUCAUCAUGGCUACCUUUCAGGACCCAAGGUUCAAGACCACCUACAUGACCACUGAGAAGCUGGUGGAGGUGAAGGUGAGAGCUGCCUCCGAGACAGAAGCCCUCCUGGUAGGGAACACAGCCAUGGGAGACUUCUCUCUUGAAGAGGACCAGAGUGAGAGAGAGAAAGAAGCUGCCACUGCUCCACAAAUCAGCAAAGAAGUCUAAGAGGAGCCUUGGGAGCUUCUUUAAGAAAAGCAGUAGUGCACCUGCCUUGAGAACCCAGAGAUAGGUCAUGGAGAAAGAGUUGGACAGCUACACUCUGAUGGCAGCAGAGUGAGGCUGAUCCUUUGGAGUGGUGGCGAGUUCACACGUACAACUUCUCACAAAUUUCCUCCUCUUCGUCUGAAGAGGUGUAGCAAGGAUCGGACCAAUAUGCAGCGUGGUAAGUGUCCAGACAAAUCAACGAGUCUUGGUUUCGUAGCGACCAGAGCAGGGACAAACCGCUGGCUCCCCAGGGUGCAAAACAUGUGUACCAGCAGGCUCCAGGGAACAAGGAGG